This 253-nucleotide ribosomal RNA is filed under the name uncultured bacterium. Its description in RNAcentral is "partial 16S ribosomal RNA". It matches the Rfam family "Bacterial small subunit ribosomal RNA", at positions 524 to 776 of the family's 1533-position model. The record is from RNAcentral.
UACGUAGGGUGCGAGCGUUAAUCGGAAUUACUGGGCGUAAAGCGUGCGCAGGCGGUUCGUUGUGUCGGUGGUGAAAUCCCCGGGCUUAACCUGGGAAUGGCCAUGGAAACUGGCGAACUGGAGUGCGGCAGAGGGGGGUGGAAUUCCGUGUGUAGCAGUGAAAUGCGUAGAGAUGCGGAGGAACACCGAUGGCGAAGGCAGCCCCCUGGGCUAGCACUGACGCUCAGGCACGAAAGCGUGGGGAGCGAACAGG